This 489-nucleotide ribosomal RNA is filed under the name uncultured bacterium. Its description in RNAcentral is "partial 16S ribosomal RNA". It matches the Rfam family "Bacterial small subunit ribosomal RNA", at positions 28 to 507 of the family's 1533-position model. The record is from RNAcentral.
GACGAACGCUGGCGGCGUGCUUAACACAUGCAAGUCGAACGGAAAGGCCCCCAUCUUGGUGGGGGUGCUCGAGUGGCGAACGGGUGAGUAACACGUGGGUGAUCUGCCCUGUACUUCGGGAUAAGCUUGGGAAACUGGGUCUAAUACCGGAUAGGACCAUGGUUUAGUGUCUCAUGGUGGAAAGAUUAUUGUUUUGGUGCAGGAUGAGCUCGCGGCCUAUCAGCUUGUUGGUGGGGUAAUGGCCUACCAAGGCGUCGACGGGUAGCCGGACUGAGAGGGUGGACGGCCACAGUGGGACUGAGAUACGGCCCAGACUCCUACGGGAGGCAGCAGUGGGGAAUAUUGCACAAUGGGCGCAAGCCUGAUGCAGCGACGCCGCGUGGGGGAUGACGGCCUUCGGGUGGUAAACUCCUUUCGUUAGGGACGAAGCCGCACUUUUUUUGGGUGUGGUGACGGUACCUUUGUUAAGAAGCACCGGCUAACUACGUG